UACACCAAUGAUAAGUAUGCUGAGAUGUAUGAAUCAAAGAUUUUGAUUAAAUUCUGUAACUUAGAGGUCUAU
This is a small nucleolar RNA of Cynocephalus volans (Philippine flying lemur), 72 nucleotides long. RefSeq annotates it as small nucleolar RNA SNORD113/SNORD114 family. The record is from RefSeq and is a predicted model, not a curated record. The transcript has a single exon. Lineage: Eukaryota; Metazoa; Chordata; Mammalia; Dermoptera; Cynocephalidae.